Prionailurus viverrinus (fishing cat) is the source of this 5010-nucleotide long non-coding RNA. RefSeq lists it as uncharacterized. The record is from RefSeq and is a predicted model, not a curated record. The transcript has 7 exons. NCBI's taxonomy places the organism in Eukaryota, Metazoa, Chordata, Mammalia, Carnivora, Felidae.
UGUAAGAGACAGUGCCAAGAUGGCGGAUACAGCCAGAUCACACUAACCAUCCUGCACACCUAGAAAACCCAUUUGAGGAUUAGCACAGCAAUCGGCACAACCUGAACCACAGAACUCAGAAGUGAUGCCAGGGUACCAUACCUUCCUUCUCCAUGGGGUGAGGUUGUUGAAAACUCAGAAGAUGAUGUAAUAGCUAAUGUCUAUGGGGCACUGACUAUAUGGGUCAAAUGCUGAGGCUUCACACCCAGCAUGGAGCCCAACACAGGGGCUCAUGACCCCUGAGAUCAAGACCUGAGCUGAGAUCAAGAGUCAGACGCUUAACCAAGCAUCCCCUUUUAUAAUUUCUAGUGGAAUUGUCUUUCUUUAACUGUUGUAUUCAGAGAAUUUGACCAGUGAACUUUUACACUUGAAAUUAAUUUUUUUUAAUUUUCUGUGAUACACAAAGGCUCCUAAGUUCUAAACAAAUACCAAUCUUAAGAUAGUGAUCAAAUUCUCUAUGUUCAUAUUGAUUCAAUCCUUUUGCCAACUUAAUAUGUGAAUGUCCAAAGAGAUCUAAGAGAUCUAACAACAUUUUGUACAUUUGUGUCACUGAUUAUUUCUUCUGGUGCUCUGCACACACACAUUUUAUGUUAUACACUGACACAUUUCACCAGUGACUGUAUCUUUUAUAAUGUUAAAUUAUUUUUUUUUUCUCCAACUAAAAUGCCUUUUACUUUAUUUCUGUUUUUUGACUUAACAUCUUUGCUGCUCCUACUUCCAUUAGGUUUCAUUGGCAGGGUGAGGCCUUGCCCAAAGAGUUAUUUUCUACCUUUCCAAGUUUAUUUAUUUUAGGUAUAUCACUAAUAUCAUGUACUUGCUUUUGUAGUAGGGUUGUUUGCCAGUGUUUAUAGUAAAUAUGUUUGACACUUCUGCAUUAUCUUCUUAAUUUCUCUUUUUCCUCUUUCUUGCUAAGUUCACUACUUUUUUGCCUUUGGUUGAAAAAAAGCAAUGUAAAAUGUAUGAAUUAACUUGCCCAAUCUACUGAAGAUUAAGGUAAUUAUUAACCUAUUUUUCAUAAGAAAUUAAAAAUUGAAAUGCUAGCUAUGACUCCUCUCUAGGUGAGAGAAGGCAUUUUGUGAGCUUUUAAGUUCCUCUCACUACUAACCACAUAUUUUUCCCAGUCUUUGUUACUGAAUGUGAGAACUUAGAGCUAACUCAUUGCCAUUCUUUCUAGGUCAGUUAACUUUUUCUUUUCUGUAGGCUCCACACCUAGUGCAGAGCCCAACACAGGGCUCAAACUCAUGACCCUGAGAUCAAGAUCUGAGCUGAUAUCAAGAGUCACAUGGUCAACCAACUGAGCCAUUCAGGCACCUCUAUAUUUGUUUUUAUCUCAAAAGUUAUUUUGGUAUUUUCCUUCAACCUUUUAAAUAAAAUAAAAUUCGUCUCUUAAGUAACAACCAUAUUCAUAGAUGCUUUUUUUUUUCUAUGUCACACUACCAUUUCCCAAAUAUCUAUAGUGUGCCAGGGCCUGUGCUGUCCAUUUUACAGACAUUAUAACUAAUUCUUACAAGAACCUAUGAAAGCAAUUAUUCUGCUUCACAGAUGAGGAAAGCGAGACUCAGAUAAUAUGUAUUUCUGGUGAGUCACCAUCAAGUGGCUGAUAUGUAAGGCAGUGAUUUUGUUGCAAUACCUAAAUACUGCAACAGAACAAGGAACAGGGCACACUAGGGGGACAGAGAGAGGAGUGACUUAGUAUUCAUGCAGGGGAUGAGUGAGGAGGUAGUGAGGAAGGCUUCACCAAAGAGAAAACACUUUAGUUGAGUCAUGAUGUAUGAACCAUUUCCCAGGAGAAUAAGAAGGAAAAGCCAUUCUGGGCCCAAGGAACAUCUGUAAACACCAGGAGUAAAAGCAGUGUCGGUGUGAGAAAACUGUAAGUAUGUGGCUGGAGUGCAGGUGGUUUUAUGGCCACAGCAGAAGGUGAAUUUGGAAGUGGAAGCAGGGGUCAUAUUUUGAAGGAGCUUUUGUGUCAUGUUGAGGAGCCUGAAACUCAUCCUGUAAAUGAUGGGGAACAACCAAAGGAUAUUAAGCAGAAAAUGACAAUCCAGUUUGAUUGUGGAAAGAUCAUUCUAUGCAAUAAAUAUAAAAGUUGGACUUGGGAUGGCCUACGACUAAAGGCAAAGAGGUCUGUGAGGAGGUCCCGAUUAAAGCAAUUGUCGCAGGAAUGUUUGGAGCUCUCCUGAAUAAAACUGUCACCUGCUGUUUCCCUUUCUGCCUUGACUGUCAAGAAGUUCAAAGCCAUAUUUAAUCCUCAUUUACAGUAACUGUAUGAGCCCUCUGAAUGAGUAUAGUUUUUUCACCUCCAUUUCAUGGUGUAAUUGUUUUCUAUUGCUGCUGUAACAAAUUACAACUUAUUUAGCAACUAAAGAUGACAUAAAUGGGUAAUCUCACUGUCUCCAUGUGUCUGAAGUCUAUGACAGGUCUCACUGGGCUAAAAUCAAGGUGUCUCAGGGCUGUGUUCCUCAUUAGAGGCUCUGGGGAAUGAUCUGCUUCCAAACUCAUUCAGUUUCCACACAGUAGUAGAAGUGAGGUCCCAGCUUCCUUGCUAACUGUAAGCCAGGGGUUGGUUCUCAGUCUUCAAAUCCCUACCUGCAUUCCUUGAUGCGUGGCCCCCUUCAUCUCCGAAGCCAUCAACAGCGGGUUGGGGUCCUUCUUGUGCUUUGAGUAUCUCUGACCUCCCCACCCCCCCACCUUCUGCCACGUCUCUCUGACCCUUCUCCCUGCCUCUUCUCUUUUUAAGGGCUCAUGUGAUUACACCAAGCCCAUCAGGAUACUCAGGAUACUCACUGUGUUUAGAAGUCAGUGGAUUCAGAACUUCAACUCCAUCUUCAAAGCCUCCUCACAGCAUACUCAGAUUACUGUUUAAUUAAAUUCCAGAAGAUUGAUCGUCUCAGCCCUUUUUGGUUGGCCAGGACAACAGGAGUAGUUCCGAACAUUGGAUUUCCAUUUCCAGUGAUUGCUUCAGAUUGUCAAUAUCCUGGGACUUCCAUGAUUUCACCAGAAAAGACUGGUCUUCAUCUCACAUGAAAAACUGAUCGCAGAGAAGCCAAAAGGAGUACAGGAUUGCCCCAAAGAAGAAGGAAAAAGGAGGAGGAGGAAGAAGAAGCAGAGCAGAAGGAAGGGGAGAUGGUAAAGGAAAAGAGAUGAAUGUCUAAAAAAAAAAAUUCAAAGGAAAGAAAAGCUUCAUUAGUUCUGGGAAAUCUGAAGACCAAAUUAGGGACACUGCUGAGAGAGCCAAGGGAAAGGACCCAAAUAGGGGCCGAGGCAGCCGGAAGCAGGGGCGUUCAGGGUUUCGGGGGGUGCAGGCAAUAAGGUCUGGCCUGGGAAUAGGAAGACUGUAGGUGGUUGCAUCAGGGUACCCAGAGCAGAGAAAGCUCUCUAGGAAAGAUCUCCCGGCUAAGCCAGUGCCCUAUUUGUCUUUCGGCUCCUAGUGUUUCACAGCCAAGAGAAUGUCUGCGUGGCCCUGAGCAGUCAGGCAGGCGCCCCUUCCCACACAUGGGAAGAGGUUUAUUACAUUGGACACACAAAGUAACCCAAGUGUCCUGAAGAGAAUAUGAGAAAGCACAUUUAGUCUUUUCCAAAGGUGUGAAACCAAUCUCUCCUUGAGAAAGGGGAAAAAAAUUUUUUUUAAAUAAAACAAUUCAUCUUCUGCUUAUUCUGAGUAGGAAUUUCAAAUGCCAUGGUUUCCAGUCAACAGUCAGUCUCAUCACGAAAGAGUGCAGCCAUCUUAGAGGUAUACCUAAGGAUUUAUUCCGAAGCUGGCAUAAAACACCUGAUCCCGAAACAAUCCCAUUUGAACUAAAAUUCAUUUGCGGUCAUAAAUUGAAGAGAUGCAAACACAGAGGUGGCAUUCCUCGAGCAUUUUCAAACACAACAGAAGAAGAGAGUGAUGGCCUCAACCCAAGCAAACUCGUCAAAAUGUUGCUGGUAAGGCUUUCAGCUGCUUUCAAAUGGCAUCUCUCAUCUGAAACACUUUUCUCAGGUUUUUUUCUGUUUAAUAAAAUAUUUUAGCAUUAAAAGCCCACAAGGCAUGAAGACCUAUUCUUGGGGCCUUAAAGCUUAUAUUAAGCUUUUCCCAAUGACUUCACAAAUCUUUAAAACAGCAGCCAUGUUUUGUCAUAACGGCAUCCCCACAUUCGGUUUUCACUUGAUUUGAUUUGCGCAGUGCAAAGAGAACUGAAGUCCAAAGAUGUGCCAAGUAUGCUAUCUGGGAAUUAGAUUCAUCUCUAUGAGCUUUGUUUCUUCAUCUGCAAAACAGGUAUAAUAACGCCAGUUCUACCCCAUCCCUGAGUUUUUAGAGAACACAGUGAAUAUAACAAAUUCAAGUGCUUUAAAAAGAGAGAAACACCAUGGAAAUGUAACGCAUGUAUUAUUGCUGGUGUUACUAUCUUUCUUUUUGAUUGCAAUUUAUGUGGCCGAAGCUCCAAUGCAAGGGCUCAUAGAAGAUCUGUUUCACAUUCAGGCAAGUUCACGGGCACCUGGAAGCCUCACACGCAUCACAGAGGGCUUAUAGCUGUCCAGAGAACUAAGACCUUUGAGACACUAAGAAACUCCAUUAUGCAUAACCACUGAGGCAAAAGAGAGUGGCUGGUGAUGGAAAAGCUAAUUUGGUGGCAAUAACAGGGAGAUGGUAGGAAGCUAAUCUAAUCAUCGUUCUAACAAGCUUUCAGAUAAUGCCUACUCUACUGAUCCACGAACCACAUUCUGAGAAAAAAAGAGAAAGAGAGAGACAGAGACAGAGACAGAAUGCAUGAAGAGUUCAGGUGGCCAAGAAAUCCCAAACAGUAAACCAUAGGAAGUUAUCAACAUACGUGCUUUCCAGAGCCUAUCAUAUACUUCACCUUCCCAAAUGAGAUAUUCACUCUCAAAGAACUCAUGCUCUCCUUCUGUUCCUUCCGAAACUGUACAUUACAUCCAAAUGAUUUCCUACCAUGCUGUGUCAAUACACUGCGUUGCUAAAUCAGUGAAAAAAGA